Molecule: ribosomal RNA, 465 nt
Filed under: Triticum aestivum (bread wheat)
Lineage: Eukaryota; Viridiplantae; Streptophyta; Magnoliopsida; Poales; Poaceae
Description: partial small subunit ribosomal RNA
Source: RNAcentral
AUGAGACUCUUGCUUCCCUUUGAAAGAGGCAGACCCCUACUUCAAUUGUCAUCUGACGCCUCUAUCCCAGCUGUGGACUCAGACCUCUCACAACCAAAAAAAAGAAAAUCAAAAUCAAACGAAUCCGAAUAUAACCAAUCUAUCGCCUUUGAUGACUCGUUGACAGCCUCCUCAACCCAAGCUUCCAUCUCCUGCUCCAGACAUCGGCGCUUGCCCGCGCCAGUCCAUGAAAGGUGGAUGAAGGUGAGUUUGACUACGAACUCGAGGAUGCUGGGAACGAUCUCUUUUCAGGGAAUCACUCCCGUCGAGAGGCCCUCUUCCUCCCUUUUUCUGAAUCUGGUAGAGAGGCAAAAGAGAAGUCCAGAGAGACCUCGACUCUUUCAGGGAAAGGAGGGAGAUCGAAUGCGAGAUGGAGUCCCUGCCGAAUGGAAUGGACAUCCUUGGGGACAGCUGUGUAAGACUUAA